RNAcentral lists this ribosomal RNA (301 nucleotides) under uncultured bacterium. Its description in RNAcentral is "partial 16S ribosomal RNA". It matches the Rfam family "Bacterial small subunit ribosomal RNA", at positions 509 to 807 of the family's 1533-position model. The record is from RNAcentral.
CAGCAGCCACGGGAAUACGGAGGGGGCUAGCGUUGUUCGGAAUUACUGGGCGUAAAGCGCACGUAGGCGGCUUUGUAAGUCAGAGGUGAAAGCCCGGGGCUCAACCCCGGAAUUGCCUUUGAGACUGCAUCGCUUGAAUCCAGGAGAGGUGAGUGGAAUUCCGAGUGUAGAGGUGAAAUUCGUAGAUAUUCGGAAGAACACCAGUGGCGAAGGCGGCUCACUGGACUGGUAUUGACGCUGAGGUGCGAAAGCGUGGGGAGCAAACAGGAUUAGAUACCCCAGUAGUCCCUGUCUCUUAUAC